CGGCGAGUGAAGCGGCAAAAGCUCAAAUUUGAAAUCCCCCGGGAAUUGUAAUUUGAAGAGAUUUGGGUCCGGCCGGCGGGGGUUAAGUCCACUGGAAAGUGGCGCCACAGAGGGUGACAGCCCCGUGAACCCCUUUAACGCCCUCAUCCCAGAUCUCCAAGAGUCGAGUUGUUUGGGAAUGCAGCUCUAAGUGGGUGGUAAAUUCCAUCUAAAGCUAAAUACCGGCGAGAGACCGAUAGCGAACAAGUACAGUGAUGGAAAGAUGAAAAGCACUUUGAAAAGAGAGUGAAAAAGUACGUGAAAUUGUUGAAAGGGAAGGGCUUGCAAGCAGACACUUAACUGGGCCAGCAUCGGGGCGGCGGGGAGCAAAACCACCGGGGAAUGUACCUUUCGAGGAUUAUAACCCCGGUCCUUACUCCCAUACCACCCCGAGGCCUGCAAUCUAAGGAUGCUGGCGUAAUGGUUGCAAGUCGCCCGUCU
Molecule: ribosomal RNA, 480 nt
Filed under: Metschnikowia pulcherrima
Lineage: Eukaryota; Fungi; Ascomycota; Pichiomycetes; Serinales; Metschnikowiaceae
Description: eukaryotic LSU rRNA
Rfam family: Eukaryotic large subunit ribosomal RNA
Source: RNAcentral